ACAACAUAGGGCCCUGUACAAAAACCCAAUGGUGCAAAAGAAGUUUUAUGGUUUUUUGGGAAGGAAGAAUUUAAGUUCCUUAAAUACCUCAGGAAAUAAAUCUGACAUUCUUUUCACAUAUUGAUUUAUCCUGAAUGUAUUGAGCUGAUGGAGUUUUUUGCAGGAGAAAAAUAGAACUAGGGAAUUCAUUACUUGAUGAAGAUAUUUGACAUCAUUAUUGUUUUCUCCCUUCCAGGUUCAGAAGAAAACGUAGCUCUAAAUGCCCUCAUGGAAUUACAUACAUGGGUUAAUAAGACAAGCAUCUGGAUUUUCAUCUUUUUUUUUUUAAUAACUUUUGAAUGCAGCAAGGAAAGAGUUAUUUAUUUGACUGGGUAUUAACAGUGUGAGAACAGAUAAGCUUGUGUUUGGAAGUGGAACCACUCUCACAGUUGAACCAAAUAACAAAAAACGCACAGGGCUAACAGUAGCUGGCAAAAACAUGUUACACCUGGAAAGGAAAUGUAUGAGGAAGAAUAACAAAACAAGCCUUUUUUGAUAUACCCAAUGUAACUGUGCGUAACUGCUGGUCUAAUCUUCGGGACUGGGACCCAACUGACUGUGGAGCCUAGUAGGAAAUCAGAAUGAUUCUAUUCCAGAAGUCAUUGUGAUGAAAUCAAGGAAACACAAAGAUGAUGAUGACACUGGGAAAGCAGCUUGUCUGGCAAGGAAUUUUUAUAAGAAGAACAUCAGUUUGGAGAUGUCCAUUAAAGAAGUUGUAUAUGAAUCAAAAGAACCCAUUGUGACAUCAAAUGGGAUGUAUAAUACUAUUAAAGUGGUCAAAGUGACAGAAAAAUCAGAGGUGACGUGCACGGCCAGGUUAAGCAAUGGCAAUUUUACAGCCAACUCAACAUCACCAGAAAUGAAAGCUGAAAAAAUGAAGCCAGUAAAUAAUUGCAACUCCACAGACAACUCCACAGAAGAUGUCAAAAUGGAGAAAGUGAACAUGUUGUCCAUGGCCGUGUUGGGUUUGAGAGUACUGCUGGCAAAAAGUAUUGCCUUCAAUACACUCAUGAGUAUCAAGUUGAUUCUUUUCUGAGGCAAUGGAGAAGCAAGGCAGCAGAAGUGUGAGGAACAGAAGGAGAGAGUGUUUACCAGCAGUAUGAAAUUCAGGGGCGGAAAACCUUCCUAGAGAGUUUAUGUAACUGUUAGAGUUGUAACUGAUUUUGCUAUUUCUUGUUCUCUGUGAACUGAGGAGAGUAUAUUUUUCUUCAUUCCUUUGCUAAGUAGGAAUUGCUUUUCCCUCUCUUUUAUCCUUUGCAUAGAAGCAUCCCACCAGCACUGAUAGUUGUAAAAAUCAGAGCCUCACCACAGGCACAUGACCAUUUUAAAAUGCCUUUUACAGGAAUGUUGUAUUACUCCAUAGAGCUGAGAUUUUACUGCUGAGAGGAUUCAGGAGAGGCUAUUAAUGGUCUUACUGCUUUUUAGAUAGCUUCAAUAACAAUCUUUUUCUAGUGUAGAUGAAGAGAUCUGUGUUGGACCUGAAGUGUUUCACUGCAACCAGAUAAUGUUCAACCACAGUAACAGUUUUAUUUGCAUUUCUUUAUUUAACUUGUAUCACUUCUGCAAAGCAUACACCUCUGUUUUAAGUUGCUGUAGUCAUUGCCUAAAUAAAGUUUUAGUAUGCUAAAA
Meleagris gallopavo (turkey) is the source of this 1668-nucleotide non-coding RNA. The record is from RefSeq and is a predicted model, not a curated record. NCBI's taxonomy places the organism in Eukaryota, Metazoa, Chordata, Aves, Galliformes, Phasianidae.